Molecule: microRNA precursor, 58 nt
Filed under: Python bivittatus (Burmese python)
Lineage: Eukaryota; Metazoa; Chordata; Lepidosauria; Squamata; Pythonidae
Description: Pbv-Mir-17-P1c_pre stem-loop
Rfam family: mir-17 microRNA precursor family
About the family: This family represents the microRNA (miRNA) precursor mir-17, family, which includes mir-20, mir-91, and mir-103. miRNAs are transcribed as ~70nt precursors (modelled here) and subsequently processed by the Dicer enzyme to give a ~22nt product.
Source: RNAcentral
AAAAGUGCUUAUAGUGCAGGUAGUCCAGUGAUCUCUACUGCAGUGUUAGCACUUCAGU